GAAUGACACUUUUCUCCCUACACUUGACACAUGUGGCUUUUUGGGGAGGUCUUGGAAGGAAGCCAGGGCUGGAAAUCCCUUGUGAUUGCAAACAAGCUGGCAGGUGCCCCUGGGAGUUCUAAUUCAGGUUAGUUUAGGUUAAAUCAGGUUGGUCUGUGCUGAGGUCAGCCUUGCUGCUAUGGAGAUAGAGCUCUCCCUGCACAAGGUCAGGAGACCAGGCUUGGUAAACCCAGAUGCCCUCCCUUCCUAGGUGGCUGCAGGGGCAGUAGUGCUGGGCCCCAGCCCAGAAAUUGUUUGAGAUACUCCAGGCUCUGAGGAAAAUCUUGAGGAAAUCUCUGAGGAAAUUUUGAUACCAAAAAUGCUCAUCCUUUGAAGGACUUCCGUGACCUGGGAAAAAUGCCAUUUCCAUUGCCUGAGAAGCUGAAGUGCUUAAAAUAGGUAGUGCCUCUGGAGCAACAUGGGACCAAAAGUAGUUUGUGGGUUACUGCCAGACCCCGUGCCUGACGGCGUUGUGUUCCAAUGCCUUGUGGAGGUCCCUCUGUGUAAAGGCUGUGGGUGUCUCUGGCUGUGAGCUCAUUGCACAGACGUGCAAUGUGAAGUGGGAGCAUUCCUGCAGCCUCCUUUCAGACAUCCACAACAAUUUUAAUAGCUGCUUCGUUACCAGUGGUCCUGUUAUACUGAGCUCACCAGAGACAUCUUUAACAGGCAUGUGAGCUCGCAGAGGGCACCUCGAUGACAUUGCACAAAUGAGACACUACCACGUAUGAAGCAACUGCAUGACUUGUAUUUUUACUUCGGUUAAAAUGUAACCAAAACAUAAUCUCUUGUAUAUGGCUGUAUGAGAGACUAAAUCACACGCAGUAGCAUAGACAUAGUG
This 877-nucleotide long non-coding RNA is filed under the name Anser brachyrhynchus (Pink-footed goose). RNAcentral describes it as "lncRNA (ENSABRG00000000512.1)". Lineage: Eukaryota; Metazoa; Chordata; Aves; Anseriformes; Anatidae. The record is from RNAcentral.